RNAcentral lists this long non-coding RNA (228 nucleotides) under Paramuricea clavata. The record is from RNAcentral. Lineage: Eukaryota; Metazoa; Cnidaria; Anthozoa; Malacalcyonacea; Plexauridae.
AGAUAUAUAACGCGAGGCGCAGCCGAGCGUUAUAUAUCUGAUAAAACACGACAAUGAGUGUUUUGAAUAGCUUAAAAUACGACUACAAAAGAAUACUAAUUAGGAUGAACCAUAGUAUAAUCAUGCUAAUUAAGAUGAACAAUUAUAUAAUGCCACAUGUGUUUUAUCAGAUAUAAAGUCACUCCACAUGACAUAUUAUGGCUGACAUGAUUUGCCACAAGGUUUAUG